GCGGCAUGCCUUACACAUGCAAGUCGAACGGUAACAGGUCUUCGGAUGCUGACGAGUGGCGAACGGGUGAGUAAUACAUCGGAACGUGCCCAGUAAUGGGGGAUAGCUCGGCGAAAGCCGGAUUAAUACCGCAUACGCCCUGAGGGGGAAAGUGGGGGACCGCAAGGCCUCACGUUAUUGGAGCGGCCGAUGGCUGAUUAGCUAGUUGGUAGGGUAAAGGCCUACCAAGGCGACGAUCAGUAGCUGGUCUGAGAGGACGAUCAGCCACACUGGGACUGAGACACGGCCCAGACUCCUACGGGAGGCAGCAGUGGGGAAUUUUGGACAAUGGGGGAAACCCUGAUCCAGCAAUGCCGCGUGUGCGAAGAAGGCCUUCGGGUUGUAAAGCACUUUUGUCAGGGAAGAAAUCCUUUGGGCUAAUACCCUAGGGGGAUGACGGUACCUGAAGAAUAAGCACCGGCUAACUACGUGCCAACAGCCGCGGUAAUACGUAGGGUGCAAGCGUUAAUCGGAAUUACUGGGCGUAAAGCGUGCGCAGGCGGUUGUGUAAGACAGGUGUGAAAUCCCCGGGCUUAACCUGGGAAUUGCAUUUGUGACUGCACGACUAGAGUGUGUCAGAGGGGGGUGGAAUUCCACGUGUAGCAGUGAAAUGCGUAGAUAUGUGGAGGAACACCAAUGGCGAAGGCAGCCCCCUGGGAUAACACUGACGCUCAUGCAC
RNAcentral lists this ribosomal RNA (718 nucleotides) under uncultured beta proteobacterium. RNAcentral describes it as "bacterial SSU rRNA". It matches the Rfam family "Bacterial small subunit ribosomal RNA", at positions 39 to 754 of the family's 1533-position model. Lineage: Bacteria; Pseudomonadati; Pseudomonadota; Betaproteobacteria. The record is from RNAcentral.